UACAGAGGUCUCAAGCGUUGUUCGGAUUCAUUGGGCGUAAAGGGUGCGCAGGCUGUGUGGUAAGUCGGGUGUGAAAUUUAGGGGCUCAACCUCUAAACUGCAUCUGAUACUGCCAUGCUAGAGGACUGUAGAGGAGAUUGGAAUUCACGGUGUAGCAGUGAAAUGCGUAGAUAUCGUGAGGAAGACCAGUGGCGAAGGCGAAUCUCUGGGCAGUUCCUGACGCUCAUGCACGAAGGCUAGGGGAGCAAACGGG
Molecule: ribosomal RNA, 253 nt
Filed under: uncultured bacterium
Lineage: Bacteria
Description: partial 16S ribosomal RNA
Rfam family: Bacterial small subunit ribosomal RNA
Source: RNAcentral